CUACCCAGUUAUCCCACCAGGUGGGGUAUGGGGAGGGUAAUAUGUAGACGAGCCUUACCCCUGCCCGUAAGGGCAGAGAGGCUGUUUUCAAACGACCCUCGGCGUGUAGGAUAAAAAGAGGGAAAGCUGCAUUACGAAAACAAAGGUAAAAUUAAAAACACAAGCAAAACAAAACAAAAUAAUAAAGCAUAGGUACUCCUGCAAUAAUAAUGUAAGUACUCAUGAAAACAUAAGCAACAUAAAUACAGUCAUAGAACUAAGAAAAACUCCAAAUAAAAAUAUAAAACCUACAACAACAACAACAACAACGACUACUACCCAGUUAUCCCACCAGGUGGGGUAUGGGGAGGGUAAUAUGUAGACGAGCCUUACCCCUGCCCGUAAGGGCAGAGAGGCUGUUUCCAAACGAC
Molecule: long non-coding RNA, 410 nt
Filed under: Nicotiana benthamiana
Lineage: Eukaryota; Viridiplantae; Streptophyta; Magnoliopsida; Solanales; Solanaceae
Description: long non-coding RNA (NBEN_LNC041417)
Source: RNAcentral